UCUAUGUCCAUUCCACAUUAUGUGUACCUGAUCUCAUCUGAUUUUGGAAGCUAGGAAAGGUCAUCCCUGGUUAGUACUUGGAUGGGAGAAAGGAAAAGAUAUCAUAUGAAGAAUGUUGGGAAGAUGCAAGAA
RNAcentral lists this ribosomal RNA (132 nucleotides) under Octodon degus (degu). The record is from RNAcentral. Lineage: Eukaryota; Metazoa; Chordata; Mammalia; Rodentia; Octodontidae.